GCGAACGCUGGCGGCAGGCCUAACACAUGCAAGUCGAACGGAUCCUUCGGGAUUAGUGGCGGACGGGUGAGUAACACGUGGGAACGUGCCUUUUGGUUCGGAAUAGCUCCUGGAAACGGGUGGUAAUGCCGAAUGUGCCCUUCGGGGGAAAGAUUUAUCGCCAUUAGAGCGGCCCGCGUCUGAUUAGCUAGUUGGUGAGGUAAAGGCUCACCAAGGCUACGAUCAGUAGCUGGUCUGAGAGGAUGACCAGCCACAUUGGGACUGAGACACGGCCCAAACUCCUACGGGAGGCAGCAGUGGGGAAUCUUGCGCAAUGGGCGAAAGCCUGACGCAGCCAUGCCGCGUGAAUGAUGAAGGUCUUGGGAUUGUAAAAUUCUUUCACCGGGGACGAUAAUGACGGUACCCGGAGAAGAAGCCCCGGCUAACUCCG
RNAcentral lists this ribosomal RNA (430 nucleotides) under uncultured bacterium. RNAcentral describes it as "bacterial SSU rRNA". It matches the Rfam family "Bacterial small subunit ribosomal RNA", at positions 29 to 505 of the family's 1533-position model. The record is from RNAcentral.